AGCUCCAAUAGCGUAUAUUAAAGUUGUUGCAGUUAAAAAGCUCGUAGUUGGAUUUCUGGUUUGAACGGUCGGUCUGUUUAUGACUUGUUUGUAAAUGUGUACUAUGAUUGUUUGAGCCAUUUUUUGUGAGGAUAUUUUUCUGUCAUUAAGUUGAUGGGAUUAUGGACUUGCAUCAUUUACUGUGAAAAAAUUAGAGUGUUUAAAGCAGGCUUUAUAGCCAAUUGAAUACAUUAGCAUGGAAUAAUAAGAUACGACUUUGGUCUAUUUUGUUGGUUUGCAUACCAGAGUAAUGAUUAAUAGGGACAGUUGGGGGUAUUCAUAUUUCAGCGUCAGAGGUGAAAUUCUUGGAUCGCUGAAAGAUUAGCUUAGGCGAAAGCAUUUACCAAGGAUGUUUUCAUUA
Molecule: ribosomal RNA, 400 nt
Filed under: phytoplankton environmental sample
Lineage: Eukaryota
Description: partial small subunit ribosomal RNA
Rfam family: Eukaryotic small subunit ribosomal RNA
Source: RNAcentral